Molecule: transfer RNA, 113 nt
Filed under: Escherichia coli
Lineage: Bacteria; Pseudomonadati; Pseudomonadota; Gammaproteobacteria; Enterobacterales; Enterobacteriaceae
Description: tRNA-OTHER
Rfam family: tRNA
About the family: Transfer RNA (tRNA) molecules are approximately 80 nucleotides in length.
Source: RNAcentral
UCCUCUGUAGUUCAGUCGGUAGAACGGCGGACUGUUAAUCCGUAUGUCACUGGUUCGAGUCCAGUCGACUGUUAAUCCGUAUGUCACUGGUUCGAGUCCAGUCAGAGGAGCCA